This is a long non-coding RNA of Asparagus officinalis (garden asparagus), 245 nucleotides long. RefSeq lists it as uncharacterized. NCBI's taxonomy places the organism in Eukaryota, Viridiplantae, Streptophyta, Magnoliopsida, Asparagales, Asparagaceae. The record is from RefSeq and is a predicted model, not a curated record. The transcript is spliced from 2 exons.
AGGGGCCAAGCGCAAGGGGAAGUCGAAGUUGAUUUUGAAGCAAUUGGACGAGUUCGGCAUAAGAAUUUGGUGAACAAGAUCAUGCACGCAUCACGUGCAUUGGACUUAUUAGUUUAUUAUGUAUUGGAUGGAUAAUUUUAUAUGUAGGAGAGAGACAUGAUAUGUAUCAAACAACAUAUGUAUUUGAUAUUUUUAUAUUGUGACAUGGGAUGCAUAUAUGAUUAAAAGUUGUUUUGCGGAUGGUU